UGGGCCUACGGGGGGCAGCAGUGGGGAAUAUUGCACAAUGGAGGAAACCCUGAUGCAGCGACGCCGCGUGGGCGAGGAAGUACCUCGGUAUGUAAAGCCCUAUCAGCAGGGAAGAAACAGGACAGUACCUGACUAAGAAGCCCCGGCUAACUACGUGCCAGCAGCCGCGGUAAUACGUAGGGGGCAAGCGUUAUCCGGAUUCACUGGGCGUAAAGGGAGCGCAGGCGGCAUGGCAAGUCUGAUGUGAAAUCCUAUGGCUUAACCAUAGAACUGCAUUUGAAACUGUUAUUCUAGAGUAUGGGAGG
This 305-nucleotide ribosomal RNA is filed under the name uncultured bacterium. RNAcentral's name for it is "bacterial SSU rRNA". It matches the Rfam family "Bacterial small subunit ribosomal RNA", at positions 334 to 655 of the family's 1533-position model. The record is from RNAcentral.